GAAAUGUGAUAAGUAAUGUGAAUUGCAGAAUUCAGUGAAUCAUCAAAUCUUUGAACGCACCUUGCGCUCCUUGGUAUUCCGAGGAGCAUGCCUGUUUGAGUGUCAUGAACAUUAUCAACCUUGUCUAGCUUUUGUUAGCUUGGGGUAAGGCUUGGAUAAAUGGGAGUGUGCUGGAUUCUAUUCUGAAAUCAGCUAUCCUUAAAUAUAUUAGUGGUGGGGGACCCGGUUAUUGUUCUUCAGCUCUUGGUGUGAUAGUUAUCUACACCAUUCUGCGAGGGGCAGUAUUCAAUGGGUUAAACUAAGACUGCUUUCUAACUAGUUGUCAAGUAAGACAUUCGAGUUGACCUCAAAUCAGGUAGGACUACCCGCUGAACUUAA
Molecule: ribosomal RNA, 378 nt
Filed under: Tricholoma sp. 368-423
Lineage: Eukaryota; Fungi; Basidiomycota; Agaricomycetes; Agaricales; Tricholomataceae
Description: eukaryotic LSU rRNA
Rfam family: 5.8S ribosomal RNA (bases 1-105)
Source: RNAcentral